CGCGGGCUCGGCGCGGCCGCAGGUGCGGCGGGAGGCCGGCAGUACCGCCGCGCCCCCGCAGAGGGCAGGGCCGCCCCGCGGCUGCGGCCGCCCCCGCUCCGCUCCGCGCCGGGCCCGGCUCGGUCCGGCCGCACUCCGGGCAGCGAGCGCGGGCGAGCCCCGGCUGAGCCGAGCCGAGCGGAGCCGAGCGAAGCGGAGCGAUCUGUAUGAGUUGGGACCUGUAUCUGUACCGGGGAAUUACUUAAGUGCCCACUUAUACGGAGCGCACAAACCGAUCCAUUGGAACGCAAAAUUAUAACGUACAGAUUUAUGCAAGAGGGAUGACUGCAGAGUGCGUCGCAUGAGCAGUGUAAGAAGCUGAAAAUUGCUGCUGUUGUAGCUGUCAUAGGCACGUUAUUUUCUUUGGUAUGUGUGGAGAUUUUGCUGUCAGGCUUUUAUCCUCCAGAUUGUUUGUGCUGUACCUCUCUUCCUGCUUAAGAUAGAAAAUCAGUCACUGAACUUGGAUGCUAUUAAGUGUUCUUAGAAUAGUUCUUAACUAAGUUGGCUGAUUUGCACUUUCUGAUGAAGGAACAUUUGGUUGUUUAUUGCAGGCUCUGAACAAACAUGCUUUUCCAGAAUCAACUAAUAAGAUUACUAAUUGCAUUUCAUCAACAGAAUUGUUUAUAAUUCCUUUCAUCUAAUAUUUAUCUUUUUAGUUGUGUUUUUAUUUUGAAAUAUCUGGAGUUAAUCUGCAUCAAACAUUGUGUCUUGUCUGCAUUUUGCAGGGGUUAACAGGGAAUGCUGGUGUCUUAUGUACUUCAUAGGAGAAGGGGGACAGCAAAUAGUCUCAGGUAUUUGGUAGGAUUGUUAUCCUAAAUUCAGCCCCUUACCCAGCCUUUCUCCAUUAUCUUUUGAUCUGCCAUUCCCCACUGGCCUAAAGCAACACAUUUGAUAUACUUCCAAAUGUAAAAAUCUUUUUGGGUUCUUAUAGUCCCUUGUCCCCUCAGAAUUCAUAGAUGCAUCUAUUUUCAGAAAGCACAUACAGUUGUCUAAAAUGGAUCUAAACAGUUCUCUAAACAGGUCUAAAAUGCUGGGGCUCUUGAUUUUUUGAAAUGAUAAAAUAAUACUUUGCUUUUUCAAGCUUCUCCCUUCUGCUCUCUAGGUAAGUCAUUCUACUGCACAAGUAUUUAUAUGAAAGACCCCAGACUCACAAAUGUGUAUGCUAUUUCAUCACACUGCUAUUUGGUUCUGUCUGGUACUCUGCAGAAGAUCAGAGGGAUCCUAGGGAUACUAGUUAGCCCCAUCAUUUUGUGUAUGUAAAUGACAGGGGAAAAAAUGUUCAGUUCAAGAAAGCAGAGAUGAUUCUUGCUUAGUUGGAUAUUAAAGCACUACUGCCAUUAUUAUUUGUUCUUAUUUCUCCAGAGGAUCUGUGUCUUGAUUAGGAUUCUGUUGUGGUAAGUGCCUCUAUCAAUCACAGAGAGAUCAAGUCCUUGUCUGAAGAUGUGCAUAUAAAGAUACCCCAUACAAUAGCAUGCCUUGGAGGAGCUUGAUGGUAAUUUCAUAAGCGUCAAAUAUAUUAAUGUGAAUUCAGGUAGACUAGCAUGUUUCUGAAGUCUGAGGUAUUUCAAGAUAAAACCUUUUAUUUAUUUAUUUAUUUAUUUAUUUAAAUUAUUCCUAUGAUUCUCCCAGGAAUAAUUGUGAUGCAAAAACAAAGGACUUACCUGACUUUCAGAUUUGCGACUUUCUGAACUUUGGGUACUGUCCUUUAAUAUGUUGAGUAAGGUUGUGUAGGAGUUCUGUGUUAGGUGCUUUCAUCAAAGGAAUGAAAAACUGAAGAUGAAUCCUUGUCACUAGUGCAGUUUACUUAAGAAUUUACUGAGGAUUUAUCCCUUAAUCUAAAGGUCAUAACAUUUUAAAUUACAUGAUUUUAAUAUUCAGAAUGGACCCAAUUGCCCUCUAAGCAGCUGAUAACUUUGAAAUGCUGUUAGUCACAGAUACCCAUACAUUACCUUCUCUCAUUUUCCUUUCAUAGAAAUAAUGAAACUUGAAUUUUACUGCAAACAUGCUUUUGUCUUUUGUUCAAGGAAAAGUGUAAGAGUUGACUAUAAGCCUGCUCAUGUGUGGUGUUCCUGAGUUCACUGCUUGAUUUGUUUGCAGAUAUGGCAAACCAAGAAGAUAUGUUUAAAAUACUGCCAGUUGUUUUCAUGUUUAGGAAGAAUCCCAUCCAUGAAGGAAUCUGAACUAGGAGGACAAGACAGAAGUUCUUGGCUGCACUCUUUUGCUAACAUCAUUAAGCUAUUGCCAUGAGAUUGUAUGAAGAUGCACCACCCAAGGAAUUUUAGAUAAAAUGUCACAGUUUGACAUCGAAUACAGGGCAUAUCCAUAUACAGGACACAUCCAUUCCAUUUCACAGAGCAUCCACUCUGUCUCCAGGCACAGCUGCAGGACUCUUCAUAAAUAAAUAACCUCGUGUAAGACAGAUUAUGUUCCUCAGAUAUCAAUCACUGGUAAAUAUCGUGUUCCUACUUACGAUGUAAGAAUACUAAAUGGAAACUCAUGAAGAUUUCAGAUUGCCAUUAUAUUUACAGUCCUGGGGCUUACUGCUGAGAAUUAUUGGAUGUCUUUGCCUCUGAAUGUGGCCUGAAAGCUGCAGUGGGAUACUCAUUCCUAGCUUGCCUCUCAGAUUUUCAAAUCAAGGUUAAUAGUACUUCUUAAAGCCCUGCCUCUAAAUCACUGUAAAUAUUGCAAAAGGGUUCCAAACUUUGUCAGAUGGGGUCAGUGAGGGAACAAAAGCCCAAACUCUUCCUUUCCUGAUUUCAUAUCUGGAAAAUGUUUUGGACCAAAAUCUUAGUAUUGUUUGAUUACAGGGACUAAAUGUAGUGGGGGAGAUGGAGGGAAAGACGUCUAAAAAAAGCCUGGAGUUUUGGAUUGCUUUCUAGUAUCUGCACAAUGAAAGGGCAGUUUGUUCAUUCCCCUUCUUUUACUGGGCCAUUAGCUCUUUUUCUGUCAGUGGUCAGACAUUCCCCAAUUCCAGCUGCAAAUAAUACAUCUCUCCAUGAACUGAUACCAAGAAACAGGGCUAUUUUAACCCUGAAUUCUUGCCAUCUUUCAGAGGCAGUGAGUCUUAUUUUUUUGUAAUCUGUUUGAAUGCUUCCCUCACCAGCCACUGUUGUCCACUGCCCAAA
This is a long non-coding RNA of Motacilla alba alba, 3164 nucleotides long. RefSeq lists it as uncharacterized. The transcript has 3 exons. The record is from RefSeq and is a predicted model, not a curated record. NCBI's taxonomy places the organism in Eukaryota, Metazoa, Chordata, Aves, Passeriformes, Motacillidae.